RNAcentral lists this ribosomal RNA (468 nucleotides) under uncultured bacterium. RNAcentral describes it as "partial 16S ribosomal RNA". It matches the Rfam family "Bacterial small subunit ribosomal RNA", at positions 28 to 507 of the family's 1533-position model. The record is from RNAcentral.
GACGAACGCUGGCGGCGUGCUUAACACAUACAAGUCGAACGGAAAGGCCCUGCUUUUGUGGGGUGCUCGAGUGGCGAACGGGUGAGUAACACGUGAGUAACCUGCCCUUGACUUUGGGAUAACUUCAGGAAACUGGGGCUAAUACCGGAUAGGAGCUCCUGCUGCAUGGUGGGGGUUGGAAAGUUUCGGCGGUUAGGGAUGGACUCGCGGCUUAUCAGCUUGUUGGUGGGGUAGUGGCUUACCAAGGCUUUGACGGGUAGCCGGCCUGAGAGGGUGAACGGGCACAUUGGGACUGCGAGACGGACCAGACUGCUACGGGAGGCAGCAGUGGGGAAUAUUGCACAAUGGGCGGAAGCCUGAUGCAGCAACGCCGCGUGCGGGAUGACGGCCUUCGGGUUGUAAACCGCUUUCGCCUGUGACGAAGCGUGAGUGACGGUAAUGGGUAAAGAAGCACCGGCUAACUACGUG